This 1397-nucleotide long non-coding RNA is filed under the name Sinocyclocheilus grahami. RNAcentral describes it as "lncRNA (ENSSGRG00000048248.1)". Lineage: Eukaryota; Metazoa; Chordata; Actinopteri; Cypriniformes; Cyprinidae. The record is from RNAcentral.
AUUGUCCUGAAGUCCUUUUUAUCGCCUCCUCACUAACAUUUGCUCAUCAGAAAAAGAGGCUCCAAUAAGAACAAGACUAGAGAAAGCAAAGAAAGGUAAAAAAGAACAAGCACAAUGUGUGCCUGCCUUUAUAUAUCAUCAUACCCAUACUUGUUUCAAAUGAUUUUUAUAAUCAUUAUAAUCGAUGAAUAUUGCAGAAUCAAAUUUGCUCUCUGCUUCACAGCUCCAAAACCAAAGGCAGCGGCUGUCAACAUACCCAAAACGAGAAGAUCUCGAGCCUCAGAGGACAUGGAAGUGUCAGCUGCUCCAGCUCCGAUACAGGAUCUUCCUAUGUGCCGACCAACACCUGUGUACUGCCCAGCGCCACCUGGUUGGUAUGUGCAUCAUAUAGUUACAAGUAGCCCAUUACCACCAUCGGCUAUUCCAGAAUCAGAAGUUCCGAUUUUAACAACUCAUCAAGCUCCAACUUUACUGAAAGAACCAGACGCUGCUAAGGCAAAGCCAAAACAAGCCACUAAAAAGAAAGAACCAGCUGCGCCAAAAGAAAAAGCCAAAGCAGCUCCUACGAAGAAGGAGCCCACAGUUACUAAAGCCAAAGUAAAACCUGCAGUGGCAAAGAAAGGGCUGAUCGCUGUGAAAGAGAGGUCUAAAAGGACAGAGCGAGUGAUCACUAAAGAAAAGGCAAAACCUACCUCUACUAAGAAAGAGCCAGCAGUAACAAAGAAGGCAAAAGUAACAACAACCUCACAUAAAGAAGAGAAAGCUGUAAAGGAAGUGAAGCCCAAAGCAGAGGUCAAGAAAAAGGCAGCAUCAACACCAAAAGCCAAACAAGCUAUUAAAGUUGUGGGAAAACCUGCUCCAGAUGAGAAGAAAAUGGCAGAAGAAACCAAAGAGAAAGCAGCCGAGGCACCAGCAAAAGACCUGAAAGCAGAGGAAAAUGUCACAGAAGGCAAAAAGCCAGGCAAGAUACCGUACUUCCAGUGUGUUUUAAUGAGCUCAAAAUCCAGCCAAUAUCCACUGCGGCCCAUGUCCCCUGCUAUGAAUCCAGCUAUUAACCCCACCAUGAUGAGAGCCAUGAUGGAGCAGAGGGCCGCAUUACUGCAGCAGAAAGCCCGUGCAGCUGGCCAGUAACUGGACGACAGACCCCUGGCAGGUGCAAACUGCUUAUGAACUGCUAUAAAAACAUAGUGCUGCUGGGCUCUCAAGAGCUAUCUUCCUAAACCAUCAGAAACUUUGGUUAGAAACAAAUAAUGAGUAGAGGUCCCUGGUUUCUCAAUGGACGCUCUCCAUUCUUUCAUAAGUGAUUUUUGAAUCUGACCAGUUUCUCAAUUUUGACAAAAAAGAGAUAUAAAUAAAUUCUAAUGUACAUUUUGAAAUAUAUUUAAUGCAUAAACACC